This is a non-coding RNA of Mus musculus (house mouse), 72 nucleotides long. The record is from Rfam. Lineage: Eukaryota; Metazoa; Chordata; Mammalia; Rodentia; Muridae.
UUGCUAGUCAGGCUCCUGGCUGGAGGCCAGCUCUCAGCUGCUUCCAGGCUGUGGCCAGGGCCUGAAUGGAUG